This 250-nucleotide ribosomal RNA is filed under the name uncultured bacterium. RNAcentral's name for it is "partial 16S ribosomal RNA". It matches the Rfam family "Bacterial small subunit ribosomal RNA", at positions 524 to 776 of the family's 1533-position model. The record is from RNAcentral.
UACAGAGGGGGCAAGCGUUGUUCGGAAUUACUGGGCGUAAAGGGCGCGUAGGCGGCCCUCUAAGUCAGACGUGAAAUCCCUCGGCUCAACCGGGGAACUGCGUCUGAGACUGGAAGGCUUGAAUUCGGGAGAGGGAUGUGGAAUUCCAGGUGUAGCGGUGAAAUGCGUAGAUAUCUGGAACGCCAAUGGUGAAAACAGGUAGCUGGGAGUGUGCUGACGCUGAGACACGAAAGCCAGGGGAGCGAACGGG